CAAUUUUCUUCAAAGUGAUUAAUACAAAGGAAACAGUGGCAGAUAUAAGAUAAAAAAAUUCAGACAACAGCGAAUUCUCCUGUUACAUCGGGCCUUUAUAUGGUUAAAUGCCAUAAAGUUAAACUUUGCUGGCAAUAUGAAUCAUUUGCGCAUUUUCCUUGCAACACAUUCAUUGAUCGUCAUUGUAUAAGCCAUGAAGUUCAAGACUUUGACUGAUGAUAUAUCAUUUUUAUGAUGUCGAAUGAACCUGCCGUGUUGUAUUGGUAGAAAAAAACGUGAUGUAAUCUUCAGAGAUAAAGGAAGCAACGGUGAGGAUGUUGAAACCGGAACAAUUUCAAGUAGAAAAAAACGUGACAAAAUCUUCAGAAUGUUUUUCCAAGUCAAAGACGUAAAGGGUGACAGUAAAUAAAAACUAUUUCAGGAUGAAUUAUGGAUUUCAAAAAUUCCUUUUACACAGUGUAAAUGUAGCUCUAAUCGUGUAGUCAUUUUUUAUUCCUGUAAUUUUUUUUUCAAAUCAUGCAAAUUAUCACAAAAUUGUAAAUUAUGGCUUUGCAAAUCGAAAAAAGUGAAAUUAUAACUAAAGGCCUAUUUUCCAUAAA
Molecule: long non-coding RNA, 599 nt
Organism: Xenia sp. Carnegie-2017
Lineage: Eukaryota; Metazoa; Cnidaria; Anthozoa; Malacalcyonacea; Xeniidae
Exons: 4
Source: RefSeq, a predicted model, not a curated record